Molecule: ribosomal RNA, 2917 nt
Filed under: Salmonella enterica subsp. enterica
Lineage: Bacteria; Pseudomonadati; Pseudomonadota; Gammaproteobacteria; Enterobacterales; Enterobacteriaceae
Description: bacterial LSU rRNA
Rfam family: Bacterial large subunit ribosomal RNA
Source: RNAcentral
GGGUUGUGAGGUUAAGCGACUAAGCGUACACGGUGGAUGCCCUGGCAGUCAGAGGCGAUGAAGGACGUGCUAAUCUGCGAUAAGCGCCGGUAAGGUGAUAUGAACCGUUAUAACCGGCGAUUUCCGAAUGGGGAAACCCAGUGUGACUCGUCACACUAUCAUUAACUGAAUCCAUAGGUUAAUGAGGCGAACCGGGGGAACUGAAACAUCUAAGUACCCCGAGGAAAAGAAAUCAACCGAGAUUCCCCCAGUAGCGGCGAGCGAACGGGGAGGAGCCCAGAGCCUGAAUCAGCAUGUGUGUUAGUGGAAGCGUCUGGAAAGGCGCGCGAUACAGGGUGACAGCCCCGUACACAAAAGCGCAUGUGCUGUGAGCUCGAUGAGUAGGGCGGGACACGUGGUAUCCUGUCUGAAUAUGGGGGGACCAUCCUCCAAGGCUAAAUACUCCUGACUGACCGAUAGUGAACCAGUACCGUGAGGGAAAGGCGAAAAGAACCCCGGCGAGGGGAGUGAAAAAGAACCUGAAACCGUGUACGUACAAGCAGUGGGAGCACGUGACUGCGUACCUUUUGUAUAAUGGGUCAGCGACUUAUAUUCUGUAGCAAGGUUAACCGAAUAGGGGAGCCGGAGGGAAACCGAGUCUUAAUUGGGCGUUAAGUUGCAGGGUAUAGACCCGAAACCCGGUGAUCUAGCCAUGGGCAGGUUGAAGGUUGGGUAACACUAACUGGAGGACCGAACCGACUAAUGUUGAAAAAUUAGCGGAUGACCUGUGGCUGGGGGUGAAAGGCCAAUCAAACCGGGAGAUAGCUGGUUCUCCCCGAAAGCUAUUUAGGUAGCGCCUCGUGAAUUCAUCUCCGGGGGUAGAGCACUGUUUCGGCUAGGGGGCCAUCCCGGCUUACCAACCCGAUGCAAACUGCGAAUACCGGAGAAUGUUAUCACGGGAGACACACGGCGGGUGCUAACGUCCGUCGUGAAGAGGGAAACAACCCAGACCGCCAGCUAAGGUCCCAAAGUCAUGGUUAAGUGGGAAACGAUGUGGGAAGGCCCAGACAGCCAGGAUGUUGGCUUAGAAGCAGCCAUCAUUUAAAGAAAGCGUAAUAGCUCACUGGUCGAGUCGGCCUGCGCGGAAGAUGUAACGGGGCUAAACCAUGCACCGAAGCUGCGGCAGCGACGCUGAUGCGUUGUUGGGUAGGGGAGCGUUCUGUAAGCCUGCGAAGGUGGCCUGUGAGGGUUGCUGGAGGUAUCAGAAGUGCGAAUGCUGACAUAAGUAACGAUAAAGCGGGUGAAAAGCCCGCUCGCCGGAAGACCAAGGGUUCCUGUCCAACGUUAAUCGGGGCAGGGUGAGUCGACCCCUAAGGCGAGGCCGAAAGGCGUAGUCGAUGGGAAACGGGUUAAUAUUCCCGUACUUGGUGUUACUGCGAAGGGGGGACGGAGAAGGCUAUGUUGGCCGGGCGACGGUUGUCCCGGUUUAAGCGUGUAGGUGUGUGUUCCAGGUAAAUCCGGUUCACUUUAACACUGAGGCGUGAUGACGAGGCACUACGGUGCUGAAGCAACAAAUGCCCUGCUUCCAGGAAAAGCCUCUAAGCAUCAGGUAACAUCAAAUCGUACCCCAAACCGACACAGGUGGUCAGGUAGAGAAUACCAAGGCGCUUGAGAGAACUCGGGUGAAGGAACUAGGCAAAAUGGUGCCGUAACUUCGGGAGAAGGCACGCUGACACGUAGGUGAAGUGAUUUACUCAUGGAGCUGAAGUCAGUCGAAGAUACCAGCUGGCUGCAACUGUUUAUUAAAAACACAGCACUGUGCAAACACGAAAGUGGACGUAUACGGUGUGACGCCUGCCCGGUGCCGGAAGGUUAAUUGAUGGGGUCAGCGCAAGCGAAGCUCCUGAUCGAAGCCCCGGUAAACGGCGGCCGUAACUAUAACGGUCCUAAGGUAGCGAAAUUCCUUGUCGGGUAAGUUCCGACCUGCACGAAUGGCGUAAUGAUGGCCAGGCUGUCUCCACCCGAGACUCAGUGAAAUUGAACUCGCUGUGAAGAUGCAGUGUACCCGCGGCAAGACGGAAAGACCCCGUGAACCUUUACUAUAGCUUGACACUGAACAUUGAGCCUUGAUGUGUAGGAUAGGUGGGAGGCUUUGAAGUGUGGACGCCAGUCUGCAUGGAGCCGACCUUGAAAUACCACCCUUUAAUGUUUGAUGUUCUAACGUGGACCCGUGAUCCGGGUUGCGGACAGUGUCUGGUGGGUAGUUUGACUGGGGCGGUCUCCUCCUAAAGAGUAACGGAGGAGCACGAAGGUUGGCUAAUCCUGGUCGGACAUCAGGAGGUUAGUGCAAUGGCAUAAGCCAGCUUGACUGCGAGCGUGACGGCGCGAGCAGGUGCGAAAGCAGGUCAUAGUGAUCCGGUGGUUCUGAAUGGAAGGGCCAUCGCUCAACGGAUAAAAGGUACUCCGGGGAUAACAGGCUGAUACCGCCCAAGAGUUCAUAUCGACGGCGGUGUUUGGCACCUCGAUGUCGGCUCAUCACAUCCUGGGGCUGAAGUAGGUCCCAAGGGUAUGGCUGUUCGCCAUUUAAAGUGGUACGCGAGCUGGGUUUAGAACGUCGUGAGACAGUUCGGUCCCUAUCUGCCGUGGGCGCUGGAGAACUGAGGGGGGCUGCUCCUAGUACGAGAGGACCGGAGUGGACGCAUCACUGGUGUUCGGGUUGUCAUGCCAAUGGCACUGCCCGGUAGCUAAAUGCGGAAGAGAUAAGUGCUGAAAGCAUCUAAGCACGAAACUUGCCCCGAGAUGAGUUCUCCCUGAGACUUUAGGUCUCCUGAAGGAACGUUGAAGACGACGACGUUGAUAGGCCGGGUGUGUAAGCGCAGCGAUGCGUUGAGCUAACCGGUACUAAUGAACCGUGAGGCUUAACCUUACAACGCCGAAG